Molecule: ribosomal RNA, 837 nt
Filed under: uncultured Acidimicrobiales bacterium
Lineage: Bacteria; Bacillati; Actinomycetota; Acidimicrobiia; Acidimicrobiales
Description: bacterial SSU rRNA
Rfam family: Bacterial small subunit ribosomal RNA
Source: RNAcentral
GACGCUGGCGGCGGGCCUAACACAUGCAAGUCGAACGCACUCGACCUUCGGGUCACAUGAGUGAGUGGCGAACGGGUGAGUAACACGUGAGGAACCUGCCCCGAAGACUGGAAUAACCCGAGGAAACUCGGGCUAAUACCGGAUAUCCCCACCAGGUCGCAUGGCCAGGUGAGGAAAUGCUCCGGCGCUUCGGGAGGGUCUCGCGGCCUAUCAGCUAGUUGGUGAGGUAACGGCUCACCAAGGCAUCGACGGGUAGCUGGUCUGAGAGGACGAUCAGCCACACUGGGACUGAGACACGGCCCAGACUCCUACGGGAGGCAGCAGUGGGGAAUCUUGCGCAAUGGGCGAAAGCCUGACGCAGCCACGCCGCGUGAGGGAUGAAGGCUUUCGGGUUGUAAACCUCUUUCAGCAGGGACGAAAAUGACGGUACCUGCAGAAGAAGCCCCGGCCAACUACGUGCCAGCAGCCGCGGUAACACGUAGGGGGCGAGCGUUGUCCGGAUUUAUUGGGCGUAAAGAGCUCGUAGGCGGUUCAGUAAGUCGGGUGUGAAAACUUGAGGCUCAACCUCAAGAGGCCACUCGAUACUGCUGUGACUUGAGUCCGGUAGAGGAGUGUGGAAUUCCUGGUGUAGCGGUGAAAUGCGCAGAUAUCAGGAGGAACACCGACAGCGAAGGCAGCACUCUGGGCCGGUACUGACGCUGAGGAGCGAAAGCGUGGGGAGCGAACAGGAUUAGAUACCCUGGUAGUCCACGCCGUAAACGUUGGGCACUAGGUGUGGGAUCUAACUAACAGAUUCCGUGCCGUAGCUAACGCAUUAAGUGCCCCGCCUGGGGAGUA